GUCAGAUGUGGUGGUACCCACCUGCAAUCCCUACUACCAGGGUGGCUGAGGUUGGCAGGUUUCUUGAGUUAGGACUUUCUGAGCUGCUGCUGGCUAGGCCAAUUGGAUGGCUGCGCUAAGUCUGACACUAAUCUGAUGAAGGCCCAAGGAGUGGGGAGACCAGGUUGCCUAAGGAGGGGGCAAAGCAGUCCAGCUCAGAAAUGGAGCGGGUCAAGUUUCCUGUGCCCAUAAGUAGUGGGAUCUGAGCCAUGAGUGUCCCCUGCACUUCUAGCCUGGACAAGACAGGCAGGCCCAGUCUCAA
Unclassified non-coding RNA from Vombatus ursinus (common wombat), 301 nucleotides. It matches the Rfam family "Metazoan signal recognition particle RNA". Rfam says of the family: The signal recognition particle (SRP) is a universally conserved ribonucleoprotein. Lineage: Eukaryota; Metazoa; Chordata; Mammalia; Diprotodontia; Vombatidae. The record is from Ensembl.